This 587-nucleotide ribosomal RNA is filed under the name uncultured bacterium. Its description in RNAcentral is "bacterial SSU rRNA". It matches the Rfam family "Bacterial small subunit ribosomal RNA", at positions 338 to 916 of the family's 1533-position model. The record is from RNAcentral.
CCUACGGGAGGCAGCAGUAGGGAAUCUUCCACAAUGGGCGAAAGCCUGAUGGAGCAACGCCGCGUGAGUGAUGAAGGCCUUCGGGUUGUAAAACUCUGUCAUUCGGGACGAACCGGAGUCUGAGGAAAUGCAGACUCUCUGACGGUACCGGAGGAGGAAGCCCCGGCUAACUACGUGCCAGCAGCCGCGGUAAUACGUAGGGGGCAAGCGUUGUCCGGAUUCACUGGGCGUAAAGCGCGCGCAGGCGGUGAUGUAAGUCUGAGGUGAAAACCCGAAGCUCAACUUCGGGACUGCCUUGGAUACUGCGUCACUUGAGGAUAGGAGAGGCAAGGGGAAUUCCACGUGUAGCGGUGAAAUGCGUAGAGAUGUGGAGGAACACCUGCGGCGAAGGCGCCUUGCUGGCCUAUUUCUGACGCUGAGGCGCGAAAGCGUGGGGAGCAAACAGGAUUAGAUACCCUGGUAGUCCACGCUGUAAACGAUGAGUGCUAGGUGUAGGUGGGCUCAUACCCAUCUGUGCCGAAGCUAACGCAUUAAGCACUCCGCCUGGGGAGUACGGUCGCAAGACUGAAACUCAAAGGAAUUGACGG